This 113-nucleotide ribosomal RNA is filed under the name Salmo salar (Atlantic salmon). Lineage: Eukaryota; Metazoa; Chordata; Actinopteri; Salmoniformes; Salmonidae. The record is from RNAcentral.
GCUUACGGCCAUACCAGCCUGGGUACGCCCACCUGAUCUCGGAAGCUAAGCACGGUCGGGCCUGGUUACUACUUGGAUGGGAGACCGCCUGGGAAUACCAGGUGCUGUAAGCA